Molecule: unclassified non-coding RNA, 279 nt
Filed under: plant metagenome
Description: partial contains small subunit ribosomal RNA, internal transcribed spacer 1, and 5.8S ribosomal RNA
Source: RNAcentral
UCUCCGUAGGUGAACCUGCGGAGGGAUCAUUACAGAGUUCAUGCCCUACCGGGUAGAUCUCCCACCCUAUUUUAUUAUUACUUGGUUGCUUGGGCGGGCCGCCAGGCUCCGGCCCGACUACCGGCCCCCGCUGGUAAGCGCCCGCCAGAGGACCCUAAACCCUGCAUAUUAGUGUCGACUGAGUACUAUAUGAUAAAUAAAACUAUAAACAACCGAUCGCUUGUUUCUUGCAUCGAUAAAGAACGCAACAGAACGGAAAAGCACACGACUGAACUUCAC